GUACCCACAAUUACUUGGAUAACUGUGGUAAUUCUAGAGCUAAUACAUGCWAACAGAGCUCCGACCGGAGACGGAAGGAGUGCUUUUAUUAGAUCAAAACCAAUCGGUGGCGAGUUCGCUCGUCAUCGUACAACUUGGUGACUCUGAAUAACUUUACGCUGAUCGCACGGUCUCGCACCGGCGACGCAUCUUUCAAAUGUCUGCCUUAUCAACUGUCGAUGGUAGGUUCUGCGCCUACCAUGGUUGUAACGGGUAACGGGGAAUCAGGGUUCGAUUCCGGAGAGGGAGCCUGAGAAACGGCUACCACAUCCAAGGAAGGCAGCAGGCGCGCAAAUUACCCACUCCCGGCACGGGGAGGUAGUGACGAAAAAUAACGAUACGGG
Molecule: ribosomal RNA, 383 nt
Filed under: Guineobius niger
Lineage: Eukaryota; Metazoa; Arthropoda; Insecta; Coleoptera; Curculionidae
Description: SSU rRNA
Rfam family: Eukaryotic small subunit ribosomal RNA
Source: RNAcentral